AAUGUGGAAAGCAGUAUGGAAAUUCCUUGGAAAAUUGGAGUGGAACUGCCAUUUGGCCCAGCUAUCCCUCUCCUCGGACUCUACCCAAAGGACUUAAAAUCAGCACACUACAGGGACACAGCCACAUCAGUGUUAAAGCAGCACAGUUCACAACAGCUAAACUGUGGAGCCAACCUAGAUGCCCUUCGGUAGAUGAAUGAUAAAGAAAAUGUGGUCUAUACACAAUGGAAUACUACUCAGCAUUAAAAGAGAAUAAAAUCAUGGCAUUUGCAGGUAAAUGGAUGGAGUCGGAGACUACACCAUAUUUUCUUUAUCAUUCAUCUGGUGGGCACCUAGGCUGGUUCCAGGGUUUGGCUGCUGUGAAUCAGGCUGCUGCAAACAUGGGCUGGCUCAGUGGGUUGAGUGCUUGCUUUGCAUGCACAAGGCCCUGGGUCUGAUCCCCAGUGCCACAAGAAAAAAAUAAGGUAAACAUGGCUUGCAUGUAUUGCUGUAGUAAGAUGAUUUUAAUGCUUCAGGGUAAAUAGUGAGGAGGG
RNAcentral lists this long non-coding RNA (533 nucleotides) under Marmota monax (woodchuck). The record is from RNAcentral. Lineage: Eukaryota; Metazoa; Chordata; Mammalia; Rodentia; Sciuridae.